AGGGAGAGGGGACUUGCUUUGCUGCUAAUUAAAGCCAGUGUUUCUGUUGUUUAAAGCCCACAGGUGAGAAGAUGGAGAGUAAAGAAAAGACAUCAGCUCACUAUUCCACACAUUGGACAGAUGGGACUCUCGGAGCUGAGAGUCAGAAGACAGAACCUGCUUACAAGAAGACCGCGCUUGAGGACCUGCUAGGGGAUUCUUUCUCUAAGAUAGAACAGUCCAGCAAAGGGAUUGAGAGCGAAAUUUUACUUUGCAGAAGAGAGGCAUAUAUCCCACUCAGUUGCUGCCCCUGAAGUGGUAGAGAGAAAACCUCUCCAAAUAUCCUUUGCUGUCUCCUCUUGUCAAAGAAUAUCUUUCCAUCCCUGCUACCUCUGUUCCAAGUGAGUGUGUCUUUUUAACUUCAGGAGACAUAGUUACUACCCGGAGGUACUACCCUUAAAAAAGAACAUGACCAUACACUGUAACGAAUUGCUGUAAAAACUACAGCGUUAUUUUACAGAAGCUGACUGUUUUUUAAAUAAUACAGAAUAUUGCUGUAAAGUGCAAUGCAUUCUGGGGUCACGUGACGGAUUAACUCAAAUGUACAGAAUAUUGCUGUAAAUUUCAAAUCUACAAUGGCGGGAUGAUCUUCAACGGUCGAGAUUGGUGUAGUGCGCAAAAUGAGUGAUUCACACAUGUGACACACUUUGCCAUGCAGGCCACUGGAUGCUGACUACUGCAGGUUAGGUUGUGUGUGACUGUGACGUGCUCAGCACAGCUUCAUGUCUGGCCUUCCCACUCUGUUCAUAGCAUGUUACAUAUUCAAUCUUGAGUACCAGGAUGGGGCAAGCGUGUAUCUUGGAGUCCAAUGAAAGAUAUUAAUCCAGAGAGUGGAACAAGAAGAAGCAUCAUCUAAAAUGCCAGGAAACAGAAGAAACAGGUUGCAGUGAACCCACAUGUUGCCGCUCUACACAAUGAUGAAUUUUCAUUGUAAUCGA
Triplophysa dalaica is the source of this 977-nucleotide long non-coding RNA. RefSeq lists it as uncharacterized. The transcript is spliced from 3 exons. Lineage: Eukaryota; Metazoa; Chordata; Actinopteri; Cypriniformes; Nemacheilidae. The record is from RefSeq and is a predicted model, not a curated record.